GACGAACGCUGGCGGCGUGCUUAACACAUGCAAGUCGAACGGAAAGGCCCUGCUUUUGUGGGGUGCUCGAGUGGCGAACGGGUGAGUAACACGUGAGUAACCUGCCCUUGACUUUGGGAUAACUUCAGGAAACUGGGGCUAAUACCGGAUAGGAGCUCCUGCUGCAUGGUGGGGGUUGGAAAGUUUCGGCGGGUGGGGAUGGACUCGCGGCUUAUCAGCUUGUUGGUGGGGUAGUGGCUUACCAAGGCUUUGACGGGUAGCCGGCCUGAGAGGGUGACCGGCCACAUUGGGACUGAGAUACGGCCCAGACUCCUACGGGAGGCAGCAGUGGGGAAUAUUGCACAAUGGGCGGAAGCCUGAUGCAGCAACGCCGCGUGCGGGAUGACGGCCUUCGGGUUAUAAACCGCUUUCGCCUGUGACGAAGCGUGAGUGACGGUAAUGGGUAAAGAAGCACCGGCUAACUACGUG
RNAcentral lists this ribosomal RNA (468 nucleotides) under uncultured bacterium. RNAcentral describes it as "partial 16S ribosomal RNA". It matches the Rfam family "Bacterial small subunit ribosomal RNA", at positions 28 to 507 of the family's 1533-position model. The record is from RNAcentral.